GAUGAACGCUAGCGGCAGGCCUAACACAUGCAAGUCGAGGGGUAGAGUUCUUCGGGACUUGAGACCGGCGCACGGGUGCGUAACGCGUAUGCAAUCUACCUUAUACAGGGGAAUAGCCCAGAGAAAUUUGGAUUAAUGCCCCAUAGUGUUAUCGAAUCGCAUGGUUUGAUAACUAAAGUUCCAACGGUAUAAGAUGAGCAUGCGUCCCAUUAGUUAGUUGGUAAGGUAACGGCUUACCAAGACAAUGAUGGGUAGGGGUCCUGAGAGGGAGAUCCCCCACACUGGUACUGAGACACGGACCAGACUCCUACGGGAGGCAGCAGUGAGGAAUAUUGGACAAUGGGCGCAAGCCUGAUCCAGCCAUGCCGCGUGCAGGAUGACGGUCCUAUGGAUUGUAAACUGCUUUAUACAGGAAGAAACACUCCGACGUGUC
This 433-nucleotide ribosomal RNA is filed under the name uncultured bacterium. Its description in RNAcentral is "bacterial SSU rRNA". It matches the Rfam family "Bacterial small subunit ribosomal RNA", at positions 28 to 463 of the family's 1533-position model. The record is from RNAcentral.